This is a long non-coding RNA of Salvelinus sp. IW2-2015, 116 nucleotides long. RefSeq lists it as uncharacterized. The record is from RefSeq and is a predicted model, not a curated record. NCBI's taxonomy places the organism in Eukaryota, Metazoa, Chordata, Actinopteri, Salmoniformes, Salmonidae.
UUGAUGUGUCUAAUUUACUAUAUGCAUCUGUUUAUCUGUAGAAAUACUGGCUUCUCAGCUGGAUUUUGUGAACACAAACUGGAGUCCAGAUUUUGAAACCAUCAGAAGACAUGCAG